This 471-nucleotide ribosomal RNA is filed under the name uncultured anaerobic ammonium-oxidizing bacterium. RNAcentral describes it as "bacterial SSU rRNA". It matches the Rfam family "Bacterial small subunit ribosomal RNA", at positions 364 to 832 of the family's 1533-position model. The record is from RNAcentral.
UUCGCAAUGCCCGAAAGGGUGAACGAGCGACGCCGCGUGCGGGAUGAAGGGCUUCGGCUUGUAAACCGCUUUUCUUUGGGAAGAAGGUCCAGGUCGUGCACUUGGGCUCGACGGUACCAGAGGAAUAAGCCCCGGCUAACUCCGUGCCAGCAGCCGCGGUAAGACGAACCGAGCGAACGUUGUUCGGAAUCACUGGGCAUAAAGAGCACGUAGGCGGUUGAGCAAGUCCAUUGUGAAAUCCCCCGGCUUAACCGGGGAACUGCAGUGGAUACUACUUGACUUGAGUGCAGGAGGGGAGAGUGGAAUUCCAGGUGGAGCGGUGAAAUGCGUAGAUAUCUGGAGGAACGCCGGUGGCGAAAGCGACUCUCUGGUCUGUAACUGACGCUGAGGUGCGAAAACCAGGGGAGCGAACGGGAUUAGAUACCCGGGUAGUCCUGGCCGUAAACGAUGGGCACUAAGUAGAGGGGUUUU